GAUCCAUGGCUCAGAGCGAACGCUGGCGGCAGGCCUAACACAUGCAAGUCGAACGGACCCUUCGGGGUUAGUGGCGGACGGGUGAGUAACACGUGGGAACGUGCCUUUAGGUUCGGAAUAGCUCCUGGAAACGGGUGGUAAUGCCGAAUGUGCCCUUCGGGGAAGAUUUAUCGCCUUUAGAGCGGCCCGCGUCUGAUUAGCUAGUUGGUGAGGUAACGGCUCACCAAGGCGACGAUCAGUAGCUGGUCUGAGAGGA
This 256-nucleotide ribosomal RNA is filed under the name uncultured bacterium. RNAcentral's name for it is "partial 16S ribosomal RNA". It matches the Rfam family "Bacterial small subunit ribosomal RNA", at positions 15 to 300 of the family's 1533-position model. The record is from RNAcentral.